RNAcentral lists this ribosomal RNA (460 nucleotides) under uncultured bacterium. RNAcentral's name for it is "partial 16S ribosomal RNA". It matches the Rfam family "Bacterial small subunit ribosomal RNA", at positions 338 to 795 of the family's 1533-position model. The record is from RNAcentral.
CCUACGGUGGGCAGCAGUGAGGAAUAUUGGUCAAUGGGCGCGAGCCUGAACCAGCCAAGUCGCGUGAGGGAUGAAGGUUCUAUGGAUCGUAAACCUCUUUUAUAAGGGAAUAAAGUGUGGGACGUGUCCUAUUUUGUAUGUACCUUAUGAAUAAGGAUCGGCUAACUCCGUGCCAGCAGCCGCGGUAAUACGGAGGAUCCGAGCGUUAUCCGGAUUUAUUGGGUUUAAAGGGUGCGUAGGCGGCCCUUUAAGUCAGCGGUGAAAGUCUGUGGCUCAACCAUAGAAUUGCCGUUGAAACUGGGGGGCUUGAGUAUGUUUGAGGCAGGCGGAAUGCGUGGUGUAGCGGUGAAAUGCUUAGAUAUCACGAAGAACCCCGAUUGCGAAGGCAGCCUGCCGCAGCGUUACUGACGCUGAAGCUCGAAAGCGCGGGUAUCGAACAGGAUUAGAUACCCGUGUAGUC